This 492-nucleotide ribosomal RNA is filed under the name uncultured bacterium. RNAcentral's name for it is "partial 16S ribosomal RNA". It matches the Rfam family "Bacterial small subunit ribosomal RNA", at positions 29 to 507 of the family's 1533-position model. The record is from RNAcentral.
AGUGAACGCUGGCGGUAGGCCUAACACAUGCAAGUCGAACGGCAGCACAGUAAGAGCUUGCUCUUACGGGUGGCGAGUGGCGGACGGGUGAGGAAUACAUCGGAAUCUACUUUUUCGUGGGGGAUAACGUAGGGAAACUUACGCUAAUACCGCAUAUGACCUACGGGUGAAAGCAGAGGAUCUUCGGACCUUGCGCGAUUGAAUGAGCCGAUGUCGGAUUAGCUAGUUGGCGGGGUAAAGGCCCACCAAGGCGACGAUCCGUAGCUGGUCUGAGAGGAUGAUCAGCCACACUGGAACUGAGACACGGUCCAGACUCCUACGGGAGGCAGCAGUGGGGAAUAUUGGACAAUGGGCGCAAGCCUGAUCCAGCCAUACCGCGUGGGUGAAGAAGGCCUUCGGGUUGUAAAGCCCUUUUGUUGGGAAAGAAAAGCAGCAGGUUAAUACCCCGCUGUUCUGACGGUACCCAAAGAAUAAGCACCGGCUAACUUCGUG